RNAcentral lists this transfer RNA (51 nucleotides) under Hypanus americanus (southern stingray). Its description in RNAcentral is "tRNA-Tyr". Lineage: Eukaryota; Metazoa; Chordata; Chondrichthyes; Myliobatiformes; Dasyatidae. The record is from RNAcentral.
GGUAAGAUGGCUGAAGGUCUAAGCGGCGGAUUGUAGCUCCGUAAAGAGAGG